This 547-nucleotide ribosomal RNA is filed under the name Wolbachia sp. RNAcentral's name for it is "bacterial SSU rRNA". It matches the Rfam family "Bacterial small subunit ribosomal RNA", at positions 235 to 799 of the family's 1533-position model. The record is from RNAcentral. Lineage: Bacteria; Pseudomonadati; Pseudomonadota; Alphaproteobacteria; Rickettsiales; Anaplasmataceae.
AUUAGAUUAGCUAGUUGGUGGAGUAAUAGCCUACCAAGGCAAUGAUCUAUAGCUGAUCUGAGAGGAUGAUCAGCCACACUGGAACUGAGAUACGGUCCAGACUCCUACGGGAGGCAGCAGUGGGGAAUAUUGGACAAUGGGCGAAAGCCUGACCCAGCCAUGCCGCAUGAGUGAAGAAGGCCUUCGGGUUGUAAAGCUCUUUUAGUGAGGAAGAUAAUGACGGUACUUACAGAAGAAGUCCUGGCUAACUCCGUGCCAGCAGCCGCGGUAAUACGGAAAGGGCUAGCGUUAUUCGGAAUCAUUGGGCGUAAAGGGCGCGUAUGCGGAUUAGUAAGUUAAAAGUGAAAUCCCAAGGCUCAACCUUGGAAUUGCUUUUAAAACUGCUAAUCUAGAGAUUGAAAGAGGAUAGAGGAAUUCCUAGUGUAGAGGUGAAAUUCGUAAAUAUUAGGAGGAACACCAGUGGCGAAGGCGUCUAUCUGGUUCAAAUCUGACGCUGAGGCGCGAAGGCGUGGGGAGCAAACAGGAUUAGAUACCCUGGUAGUCCACG